CAACACUGGGAUUGAGAACUGCCCAGACUCCUACGGGAGGCUGCAGUCGAGAAUCUUUCGCAAUGGGCGAAAGCCUGACGAAGCGACGCUGUGUGAGCGAUGAAGGCCUUGGGUUGUAAAGCUCUUCGCUGGACAAGGCAGCA
This 143-nucleotide ribosomal RNA is filed under the name uncultured Chlamydiales bacterium. RNAcentral describes it as "partial 16S ribosomal RNA". It matches the Rfam family "Bacterial small subunit ribosomal RNA", at positions 308 to 452 of the family's 1533-position model. The record is from RNAcentral. Lineage: Bacteria; Pseudomonadati; Chlamydiota; Chlamydiia; Chlamydiales.